CCCCUAGAUGUUCUGGGCCGCACGCGCGCUACACUGGUCGAUGCAACGAGUUUCUUUCCUUGGCCGACAGGCCUGGGCAAUCUUUGAACAUCGAUCGUGAUCGGGAUAGAUUCUUGUAAUUUUUGAUCUUAAACGAGGAAUUCCUAGUAAACGCAAGUCAUCAGCUUGCAUUGAUUACGUCCCUGCCCUUUGUACACACCGCCCGUCGCACCUACCGAUUGAAUGGUCCGGUGAAAUCUCCGGACUGGCGUGAGUCGGAGCAAUCUGACAAACGCCGGAAAGUUGAUUAAACCUUACCAUUUAGAGGAAGGUGAAGUCGUAACA
This 324-nucleotide ribosomal RNA is filed under the name uncultured eukaryote. Its description in RNAcentral is "partial 18S ribosomal RNA". It matches the Rfam family "Eukaryotic small subunit ribosomal RNA", at positions 1470 to 1796 of the family's 1831-position model. The record is from RNAcentral.